Molecule: ribosomal RNA, 2924 nt
Filed under: Escherichia coli
Lineage: Bacteria; Pseudomonadati; Pseudomonadota; Gammaproteobacteria; Enterobacterales; Enterobacteriaceae
Description: bacterial LSU rRNA
Rfam family: Bacterial large subunit ribosomal RNA
Source: RNAcentral
GGGUUGUGAGGUUAAGCGACUAAGCGUACACGGUGGAUGCCCUGGCAGUCAGAGGCGAUGAAGGACGUGCUAAUCUGCGAUAAGCGUCGGUAAGGUGAUAUGAACCGUUAUAACCGGCGAUUUCCGAAUGGGGAAACCCAGUGUGAUUCGUCACACUAUCAUUAACUGAAUCCAUAGGUUAAUGAGGCGAACCGGGGGAACUGAAACAUCUAAGUACCCGAGGAAAAGAAAUCAACCGAGAUUCCCCCAGUAGCGGCGAGCGAACGGGGAGCAGCCCAGAGCCUGAAUCAGUGUGUGUGUUAGUGGAAGCGUCUGGAAAGGCGCGCGAUACAGGGUGACAGCCCCGUACACAAAAAUGCACAUACUGUGAGCUCGAUGAGUAGGGCGGGACACGUGGUAUCCUGUCUGAAUAUGGGGGGACCAUCCUCCAAGGCUAAAUACUCCUGACUGACCGAUAGUGAACCAGUACCGUGAGGGAAAGGCGAAAAGAACCCCGGCGAGGGGAGUGAAAAAGAACCUGAAACCGUGUACGUACAAGCAGUGGGAGCCUCUUAAUGGGGUGACUGCGUACCUUUUGUAUAAUGGGUCAGCGACUUAUAUUCUGUAGCAAGGUUAACCGAAUAGGGGAGCCGAAGGGAAACCGAGUCUUAACUGGGCGUUAAGUUGCAGGGUAUAGACCCGAAACCCGGUGAUCUAGCCAUGGGCAGGUUGAAGGUUGGGUAACACUAACUGGAGGACCGAACCGACUAAUGUUGAAAAAUUAGCGGAUGACUUGUGGCUGGGGGUGAAAGGCCAAUCAAACCGGGAGAUAGCUGGUUCUCCCCGAAAGCUAUUUAGGUAGCGCCUCGUGAAUUCAUCUCCGGGGGUAGAGCACUGUUUCGGCAAGGGGGUCAUCCCGACUUACCAACCCGAUGCAAACUGCGAAUACCGGAGAAUGUUAUCACGGGAGACACACGGCGGGUGCUAACGUCCGUCGUGAAGAGGGAAACAACCCAGACCGCCAGCUAAGGUCCCAAAGUCAUGGUUAAGUGGGAAACGAUGUGGGAAGGCCCAGACAGCCAGGAUGUUGGCUUAGAAGCAGCCAUCAUUUAAAGAAAGCGUAAUAGCUCACUGGUCGAGUCGGCCUGCGCGGAAGAUGUAACGGGGCUAAACCAUGCACCGAAGCUGCGGCAGCGACACUAUGUGUUGUUGGGUAGGGGAGCGUUCUGUAAGCCUGUGAAGGUGUACUGUGAGGUAUGCUGGAGGUAUCAGAAGUGCGAAUGCUGACAUAAGUAACGAUAAAGCGGGUGAAAAGCCCGCUCGCCGGAAGACCAAGGGUUCCUGUCCAACGUUAAUCGGGGCAGGGUGAGUCGACCCCUAAGGCGAGGCCGAAAGGCGUAGUCGAUGGGAAACAGGUUAAUAUUCCUGUACUUGGUGUUACUGCGAAGGGGGGACGGAGAAGGCUAUGUUGGCCGGGCGACGGUUGUCCCGGUUUAAGCGUGUAGGCUGGUUUUCCAGGCAAAUCCGGAAAAUCAAGGCUGAGGCGUGAUGACGAGGCACUACGGUGCUGAAGCAACAAAUGCCCUGCUUCCAGGAAAAGCCUCUAAGCAUCAGGUAACAUCAAAUCGUACCCCAAACCGACACAGGUGGUCAGGUAGAGAAUACCAAGGCGCUUGAGAGAACUCGGGUGAAGGAACUAGGCAAAAUGGUGCCGUAACUUCGGGAGAAGGCACGCUGAUAUGUAGGUGAAGCGACUUGCUCGUGGAGCUGAAAUCAGUCGAAGAUACCAGCUGGCUGCAACUGUUUAUUAAAAACACAGCACUGUGCAAACACGAAAGUGGACGUAUACGGUGUGACGCCUGCCCGGUGCCGGAAGGUUAAUUGAUGGGGUUAGCGGUAACGCGAAGCUCUUGAUCGAAGCCCCGGUAAACGGCGGCCGUAACUAUAACGGUCCUAAGGUAGCGAAAUUCCUUGUCGGGUAAGUUCCGACCUGCACGAAUGGCGUAAUGAUGGCCAGGCUGUCUCCACCCGAGACUCAGUGAAAUUGAACUCGCUGUGAAGAUGCAGUGUACCCGCGGCAAGACGGAAAGACCCCGUGAACCUUUACUAUAGCUUGACACUGAACAUUGAGCCUUGAUGUGUAGGAUAGGUGGGAGGCUUUGAAGUGUGGACGCCAGUCUGCAUGGAGCCGGCCUUGAAAUACCACCCUUUAAUGUUUGAUGUUCUAACGUUGGCCCCUGAUCGGGGUUGCGGACAGUGUCUGGUGGGUAGUUUGACUGGGGCGGUCUCCUCCUAAAGAGUAACGGAGGAGCACGAAGGUUGGCUAAUCCUGGUCGGACAUCAGGAGGUUAGUGCAAUGGCAUAAGCCAGCUUGACUGCGAGCGUGACGGCGCGAGCAGGUGCGAAAGCAGGUCAUAGUGAUCCGGUGGUUCUGAAUGGAAGGGCCAUCGCUCAACGGAUAAAAGGUACUCCGGGGAUAACAGGCUGAUACCGCCCAAGAGUUCAUAUCGACGGCGGUGUUUGGCACCUCGAUGUCGGCUCAUCACAUCCUGGGGCUGAAGUAGGUCCCAAGGGUAUGGCUGUUCGCCAUUUAAAGUGGUACGCGAGCUGGGUUUAGAACGUCGUGAGACAGUUCGGUCCCUAUCUGCCGUGGGCGCUGGAGAACUGAGGGGGGCUGCUCCUAGUACGAGAGGACCGGAGUGGACGCAUCACUGGUGUUCGGGUUGUCAUGCCAAUGGCACUGCCCGGUAGCUAAAUGCGGAAGAGAUAAGUGCUGAAAGCAUCUAAGCACGAAACUUGCCCCGAGAUGAGUUCUCCCUGACUCCUUGAGAGUCCUGAAGGAACGUUGAAGACGACGACGUUGAUAGGCCGGGUGUGUAAGCGCAGCGAUGCGUUGAGCUAACCGGUACUAAUGAACCGUGAGGCUUAACCUUACAACGCCGAAG